GAUGAAGAAGUAGCGAAAUGCGAUAAGUAAUGUGAAUUGCAGAAUUCAGUGAAUCAUCGAAUCUUUGAACGCACCUUGCGCCCUUUGGCCAUUCCGAAGGGCAUGCCUGUUUGAGUAUCAUGAACACCUCAACUCUUUAUGGUUUUCCAUGAUGAGCUUGGACUCUGGGGGUUUUGCUGGCUCACAGUCGGCUCCUCUAAAAUGAAUCAGCUUACCAGUGUUUGGUGGGUAUCAUGGGUGUGAUAACUAUCUACGCUUGUGGUUUUUCCACCAGGUAACCUUCAGCAGUGGAGGUUCGCUGGAGCUCAUAGAUGUCUCUCCUCAGUGAGGACAGCCCUUUGAAUGUUUGAUCUCAAAUCAGGUAGGACUACCCGCUGAACUUAAGCAUAUCAAUAAGCGGAGGA
This 404-nucleotide unclassified non-coding RNA is filed under the name soil metagenome. Its description in RNAcentral is "partial contains 5.8S ribosomal RNA, internal transcribed spacer 2, and large subunit ribosomal RNA". The stretch from base 1 to 120 matches the Rfam family "5.8S ribosomal RNA", at positions 35 to 154 of the family's 154-position model. The record is from RNAcentral.